GACGAACGCUGGCGGCGUGCUUAACACAUGCAAGUCGAACGGUAAGGCCCUUCGGGGUACACGAGUGGCGAACGGGUGAGUAACACGUGGGUGAUCUGCCCUGCACUCCGGGAUAAGCCUGGGAAACUGGGUCUAAUACCGGAUAGGACCACUGCCUGCAUGGGUGGUGGUGGAAAGCUUUUGCGGUGUGGGAUGGGCCCGCGGCCUAUCAGCUUGUUGGUGGGGUGAGGGCCUACCAAGGCGACGACGGGUAGCCGGCCUGAGAGGGUGACCGGCCACACUGGGACUGAGAUACGGCCCAGACUCCUACGGGAGGCAGCAGUGGGGAAUAUUGCACAAUGGGCGCAAGCCUGAUGCAGCGACGCCGCGUGAGGGAUGACGGCCUUCGGGUUGUAAACCUCUUUCAGCACCGACGAAGCGCAAGUGACGGUAGGUGCAGAAGAAGGACCGGCCAACUACGUGCCAGCAGCCGCGGUAA
RNAcentral lists this ribosomal RNA (478 nucleotides) under uncultured bacterium. Its description in RNAcentral is "partial 16S ribosomal RNA". It matches the Rfam family "Bacterial small subunit ribosomal RNA", at positions 28 to 523 of the family's 1533-position model. The record is from RNAcentral.